RNAcentral lists this transfer RNA (65 nucleotides) under Cleroidea sp. 1 KM-2017. RNAcentral describes it as "tRNA-His". The record is from RNAcentral. Lineage: Eukaryota; Metazoa; Arthropoda; Insecta; Coleoptera.
AUUUAAAUAGUUUAAAUAUAAAAUAUUAGUUUGUGGAACUAAAGAUAUAUAAUGUAUUUUAAAUA